UCUUUGUCACCUGACAGCGAAAAGUUUCCUUAUGCUGAAUAUUCAAAUUCCGUCUUUAAUUUCCAUUCUUUCUACAGCUUUUUCCAGCCAACACCUUUUCUUGGAUAUUAUGAGUUCCCUCAGUUUUAUUCUAUUCCGCAAGUGGGAUUUUCUGAUAUUCAAGGACAAUACGAAUUUUAUAGGACGUGCUGGAAAAGUCAAGCUAACACAUCGUACAUUUGGCAGAAUUUAUUUCAAAAAUUUUUUUCUCAAUAUCUGAUACAUCAAAACAGCAUAUGGGCCUUAAUUCCUGUUACAGAACAUCCUAUCGGAAAUAUUAAGUCAUUUACUGAUAGUGCCAAAGUACGAUUUUGUUGCAAAUCGUGCAACCAUGGCUGGACAUCAAUGAAGGGCAGAGUUUGUUUCUGGUUUUACUUGGAGAGAGAAAACUUUGCUGGCGUAGUCUACUUUAAAUUAUAUGGCCAGCAAUGCAUCAAAUGUGUUAAAGGGGCUUUUCAGAAUCCAAUGUGGUACCCGGAAG
Octopus sinensis (East Asian common octopus) is the source of this 520-nucleotide long non-coding RNA. RefSeq lists it as uncharacterized. The transcript has 3 exons. NCBI's taxonomy places the organism in Eukaryota, Metazoa, Mollusca, Cephalopoda, Octopoda, Octopodidae. The record is from RefSeq and is a predicted model, not a curated record.